CUAGUCUUAUCGUGGAUCACUCGGCUUCG
Molecule: ribosomal RNA, 29 nt
Filed under: Rotylenchulus reniformis
Lineage: Eukaryota; Metazoa; Nematoda; Chromadorea; Rhabditida; Hoplolaimidae
Description: partial 5.8S ribosomal RNA
Source: RNAcentral